CGGGUGGGAAGAUAUAACGGGGCUAAAGCAUAAACCGAAGCUCCGGAUAGAUAAUGAUAUCUAUGGUAGAGGAGCAAUCUGUAAGCCGUCGAAGAAGGACCGCGAGGUUAGUUGGAGGUAUCAGAAGUGAGAAUGCUGACAUGAGUAACGAGAGAUAGGUGAAAACCCUAUCCGCCGAAUGACCAAGGUUUCCUGUCCAACGCUAAUCGGGACAGGGUAAGUCGGCCCCUAAGGCGAGGGCGAAGGCCGUAGUCGAUGGAAAACAGGUUAACAUUCCUGUACUUCCUAUUACUGCGAUGGAGUGACGGAGAAGGCUAGAUCAUCAGGGCGCUGGUUGUCCCUGUUUAAGGAUGUAGAUUUGUAUUUUAGGUAAAUCCGGAAUACUUUAAAUUGAGAUCUGAUGACGAUUGAUUUUUUAAAUCAAGAAGUGAUUGAUGCCAUGCUUCCAGGAAAAACUUCUAAGCAUAAGUAGUAGGGAACCGUACUGCAAACCGACACAGGUGGUCAGGUAGAGAAUACUAAGGCGCAUGAGAGAACUUGGGUUAAGGAACUAGGCAAAAUGGUACCGUAACUUCGGGAGAAGGUACGCCUCUAUUACGUGAAAGAACUUGCUUCUGGAGCGGAAAGAGGUCGAAGAUACCAGGUGGCUGCGACUGUUUACUAAAAACAUAGCACUCUGCAAACACGUAAGUGGAAGUAUAGGGUGUGACGCCUGCCCGGUGCCGGAAGGUUAAUUGAUGGGGUUAGUCCUCGGACGAAGCUCUUGAUCGAAGCCCCGGUGAACGGCGGCCGUAACUAUAACGGUCCUAAGGUAGCGAAAUUCCUUGUCGGGUAAGUUCCGACCUGCACGAAUGGCGUAACGAUGGCCAUACUGUCUCGACCCAGGACUCAGUGAAAUUGAAUUUGCGGUGAAGAUGCCGUAUACGCGCGGCAAGACGGAAAGACCCCGUGCACCUUUACUAUAGCUUCACACUGGACUUUGAAUUUAUAUGUGUAGGAUAGGUGGGAGACUUUGAAGCAUAGGCGUCAGCUUAUGUGGAGUCGUCCUUGAAAUACCACCCUUAUACAUUUGAGGUUCUAACUUAGACCCGUUAUCCGGGUUGAGGACAGUGUGUGGUGGGUAGUUUGACUGGGGCGGUCUCCUCCCAAAGAGUAACGGAGGAGUACGAAGGUUACCUCAGCACGGUCAGACAUCGUGCAAUGAGUGCAAUGGCAUAAGGUAGCUUAACUGCGAGACCGACGGGUCGAGCAGGUACGAAAGUAGGUCAUAGUGAUCCGGUGGUUCUGUAUGGAAGGGCCAUCGCUCAACGGAUAAAAGGUACGCCGGGGAUAACAGGCUGAUACCCCCCAAGAGUUCACAUCGACGGGGGUGUUUGGC
This 1378-nucleotide ribosomal RNA is filed under the name marine metagenome. Its description in RNAcentral is "bacterial LSU rRNA". It matches the Rfam family "Bacterial large subunit ribosomal RNA", at positions 1159 to 2522 of the family's 2925-position model. The record is from RNAcentral.